Xyrichtys novacula (pearly razorfish) is the source of this 457-nucleotide non-coding RNA. NCBI's taxonomy places the organism in Eukaryota, Metazoa, Chordata, Actinopteri, Labriformes, Labridae. The record is from the annotation of a GenBank genome assembly.
GGAGCUGGCCCUCAGCCAAAACAGGGGUCGCCCUGUGGCUGAAGGCAUCCCCGGGGGAAGCUCAUCUGAGCCUGUCACCCCCCAGGACACAAGUCCCUACAUCAGAUGCAAGUAUCCACUUAUGUCUUUAAAAAAAAUAAAACUAAUAUAUAAAUAUAUAUAGCCUACUUUUUAACAAAUAUAUAUCCACCCACCCAACAGUUGUGGAUGGUGUCAUCUGCCUGCUUCAGCCUCCGACAGAAACAAACCCUGUAGCUGUAAGUCUUCCAUACUCAGAUGCCUCAGAUGGUAGUUCAAAGUAUUCUGAAACAGUAUAUUUUCCUGCAUUACAGGAGGGGGGGGGAGGAGGAGGAGGAUGAAGAAACACUGUCUGCUGCCACAGGGAGAGAUCCAGAGGGGCAUCCUGAAGUGUGUCUUAAUAUAUAGCUACUGGCAGUGCCCAUUCAUUUACAUUCUA